CCCCUGCGGCCCCCGCAGCCGGUUAGCCUGAACUCUGGCACCGCCCCCCACGCCACAGUCUGGGCCUCUGCCGCGCGCCCUGCCUCCUGUUGCCCACAUCCCCGCGGCCCCUGAGCCCAGAAGCAUGCUUCUAAAGGCGACCCAAGGACGCGACCGGUGGCAGCCGGGUCACCAGCCAGCCACACAAAGGAGACCCUGAACCUUGCCCGAAUGACUGCCACCUGGGCCACCUGGGCCACCUGCGUCACCUCCUUCGGGUACCCUGGUACGGUUGCAGGGAGACCCAGCCGGCCCUCAGCAGAGCCUGGUGGGCAUACGCAGAUUCCUGGCGGAGGCACUAGGAAUGGAACAGGUUUCUGAGCCUGGCUGAGGGUGCCUGCUCUGGGUGCCAGGAACAAUGUGUCACCGGGGGCCAGGAGCAGAUACCGGAAUGCCGAGGUAUGCCUGGCACUCCGAAGGGCAUCAGGAAGUAUCUUAUGGGUCUCUUGGGUUUCUUAGAUGCUGAGGCAACCUGUUACCGAAAUACUCUACUGACGGCCCCCAAAACAGAUCUGGUUUUGCCCACAAAUACAGAAGCUUGGCUUUUGAGAUA
Long non-coding RNA from Canis lupus familiaris (dog), 592 nucleotides. RefSeq lists it as uncharacterized. The record is from RefSeq and is a predicted model, not a curated record. The transcript has 2 exons. NCBI's taxonomy places the organism in Eukaryota, Metazoa, Chordata, Mammalia, Carnivora, Canidae.